GCUGGAUUUUGACCUUGAUCACGAUGACGCUUUCACACAUUGAUAGAAUGUGCAUUAACAAUUUAGAGGUCACAUGAACCAAAGUCAAGACGAUUUUUAAAGGCCUCACUGACAAGUAUAGGAACAGGGAUAUCCCUGGCCUUGCCAGGGAAACAGGCUUCACUAGGCGUAUGGCCUGUACAUAUUUCUUGACCAGUGGCCGUUCAUCAAUGAAACGAACGAUUUCUAUUUCUGGACAUAUUUCAAUGACUGUGCCCCAGGGGGGCCUGAUUGCACAUACACAAGUUGAUUCAAAUGCAUGGCAGCCGUGUUCGCGUGAUCAAAACCAGGUAAGUGGAAUUGUUAAUUCUCACGUGAGUUAAAAGUAUUCUAAUCAUGAUUAAUAAUUAUAAAGACGAAAUGUAUCAUCAUAAAGCGUAAUCAAAAGCAACUCCUUCACGGAAGUAAUGCAGAUUAACGUUUACAGAAUAAUGCACUAACUCUUAUUUAUAAAUAUUGAACUUUUCUAGAGGACAGAUCGUAAUAGCAUAUUGUCAACAUUUCAAAGAAUAAGAAGACGUUUACAGUAACUAGUGAUUUCUAGACCUUUUUCAAAUUAAAGCAGUAACGACUUAUAGCUUCUCAUUUAUGAAUAACCAUGCGCUUCACCUUUUUUCUCAUCUGUCACAGAAUUAUUCCUUGUGUAAAGGAUUGGCUUCUUAUAGUUAAUAACUAGAUAUUUAUAAAAUAAAGUGUUAAUUGUUAGCACUGUUCCAUUCCAAAUUAAUGACAAUAUAAAAGGAACAAAUAUAAUUCCCAUAAACUACAGAAUUGUGAAAGCUAC
Long non-coding RNA from Saccostrea cuccullata (small rock oyster), 823 nucleotides. RefSeq lists it as uncharacterized. NCBI's taxonomy places the organism in Eukaryota, Metazoa, Mollusca, Bivalvia, Ostreida, Ostreidae. The transcript is spliced from 4 exons. The record is from RefSeq and is a predicted model, not a curated record.